CGGGGUGUAGCUCAGCCUGGCAGAGCGCUGCGUUUGGGACGCAGAGGUCCGCAGUUCGAAUCUGCGCACCCCGACCA
RNAcentral lists this transfer RNA (77 nucleotides) under Dehalococcoidia bacterium. RNAcentral describes it as "tRNA-Pro". It matches the Rfam family "tRNA". Rfam says of the family: Transfer RNA (tRNA) molecules are approximately 80 nucleotides in length. Their secondary structure includes four short double-helical elements and three loops (D, anti-codon, and T loops). The record is from RNAcentral. Lineage: Bacteria; Bacillati; Chloroflexota; Dehalococcoidia.